Molecule: transfer RNA, 77 nt
Filed under: Hyphomicrobiales bacterium
Lineage: Bacteria; Pseudomonadati; Pseudomonadota; Alphaproteobacteria; Hyphomicrobiales
Description: Rhizobiales bacterium (soil metagenome) tRNA-Val
Rfam family: tRNA
About the family: Transfer RNA (tRNA) molecules are approximately 80 nucleotides in length. Their secondary structure includes four short double-helical elements and three loops (D, anti-codon, and T loops). Further hydrogen bonds mediate the characteristic L-shaped molecular structure. tRNAs have two regions of fundamental functional importance: the anti-codon, which is responsible for specific mRNA codon recognition, and the 3' end, to which the tRNAs corresponding amino acid is attached (by aminoacyl-tRNA synthetases). tRNAs cope with the degeneracy of the genetic code in two manners: having more than one tRNA (with a specific anti-codon) for a particular amino acid; and 'wobble' base-pairing, i.e. permitting non-standard base-pairing at the 3rd anti-codon position.
Source: RNAcentral
GGGCGGUUAGCUCAGCUGGCCAGAGCAUCUCGUUUACACCGAGAGGGACGGGAGUUCGAAUCUCUCACCGCCCACCA